This 88-nucleotide transfer RNA is filed under the name Candidatus Erwinia dacicola. RNAcentral describes it as "tRNA-Ser". It matches the Rfam family "tRNA". Rfam says of the family: Transfer RNA (tRNA) molecules are approximately 80 nucleotides in length. Lineage: Bacteria; Pseudomonadati; Pseudomonadota; Gammaproteobacteria; Enterobacterales; Erwiniaceae. The record is from RNAcentral.
GGUGAGAUGUCCGAGUGGUUGAAGGAGCACACUUGGAAAGUGUGUAUACGGCGACGUAUCGAGGGUUCGAACCCCUCUCUCACCACCA